GACGAACGCUGGCGGCGCGCCUAAUACAUGCAAGUAGAACGCACAGUUUAUACCGUAGCUUGCUACACCAUAAACUGUGAGUUGCGAACGGGUGAGUAACGCGUAGGUAACCUGCCUGGUAGCGGGGGAUAACUAUUGGAAACGAUAGCUAAUACCGCAUAAUAUUGAUUAUUGCAUGAUAAUUGAUUGAAAGAUGCUAUUGCAUCACUACCAGAUGGACCUGCGUUGUAUUAGCUAGUAGGUGAGGUAACGGCUCACCUAGGCGACGAUACAUAGCCGACCUGAGAGGGUGAUCGGCCACACUGGGACUGAGACACGGCCCAGACUCCUACGGGAGGCAGCAGUAGGGAAUCUUCGGCAAUGGACGAAAGUCUGACCGAGCAACGCCGCGUGAGUGAAGAAGGGUUUCGGAUCGUAAAGCUCUGUUGUAAGAGAAGAACGGGUGUGAGAGUGGAAAGUUCACACUGUGACGGUAUCUUACCAGAAAGGGACGGCUAACUACGUG
RNAcentral lists this ribosomal RNA (505 nucleotides) under uncultured bacterium. Its description in RNAcentral is "partial 16S ribosomal RNA". It matches the Rfam family "Bacterial small subunit ribosomal RNA", at positions 28 to 507 of the family's 1533-position model. The record is from RNAcentral.